GGCAACCUGGCCGAGUGGUCUAAGGCGCUAGCUUCAGGUGCUAGUCUGUAACAGGGCGCGAGUUCGAAUCUCGCGGUUGUCA
RNAcentral lists this transfer RNA (82 nucleotides) under Pyronema domesticum. RNAcentral describes it as "tRNA-Leu". It matches the Rfam family "tRNA". Rfam says of the family: Transfer RNA (tRNA) molecules are approximately 80 nucleotides in length. Their secondary structure includes four short double-helical elements and three loops (D, anti-codon, and T loops). The record is from RNAcentral. Lineage: Eukaryota; Fungi; Ascomycota; Pezizomycetes; Pezizales; Pyronemataceae. RNAcentral also lists the same sequence under 2 other names.